RNAcentral lists this ribosomal RNA (207 nucleotides) under uncultured Streptococcus sp. RNAcentral describes it as "partial 16S ribosomal RNA". It matches the Rfam family "Bacterial small subunit ribosomal RNA", at positions 1179 to 1382 of the family's 1533-position model. Lineage: Bacteria; Bacillati; Bacillota; Bacilli; Lactobacillales; Streptococcaceae. The record is from RNAcentral.
AUGACGUCAAAUCAUCAUGCCCCUUAUGACCUGGGCUACACACGUGCUACAAUGGUUGGUACAACGAGUUGCGAGUCGGUGACGGCGAGCUAAUCUCCUUAAAGCCAAUCUCAGUUCGGAUUGGUAGGCUGCAACUCCGCCUACAUGAAGUCGGAAUCGCUAGUAAUCGCGGAUCAGCACGCCGCGGUGAAUACGUUCCCGGGCCUU